GGAAUAUUGCACAAUGGGGGAAACCCUGAUGCAGCGACGCCGCGUGAGUGAAGAAGUAUUUCGGUAUGUAAAGCUCUAUCAGCAGGGAAGAAAAUGACGGUACCUGACUAAGAAGCCCCGGCUAACUACGUGCCAGCAGCCGCGGUAAUACGUAGGGGGCAAGCGUUAUCCGGAUUUACUGGGUGUAAAGGGAGCGUAGACGGGAUGGCAAGUCUGAUGUGAAACCCCGGGGCUCAACCCCGGGCAUGCAUUGGAAACUGUUAACCUAGAGUGUCGGAGAGGUAAGUGGAAUUCCUAGUGUAGCGGUGAAAUGCGUAGAUAUUAGGAGGAACACCGGUGGCGAAGGCGGCUUACUGGACGAUAACUGACGUUGAGGCUCGAAAGCGUGGGGAGCAAACA
Molecule: ribosomal RNA, 399 nt
Filed under: uncultured bacterium
Lineage: Bacteria
Description: bacterial SSU rRNA
Rfam family: Bacterial small subunit ribosomal RNA
Source: RNAcentral